Molecule: ribosomal RNA, 490 nt
Filed under: uncultured Streptococcus sp.
Lineage: Bacteria; Bacillati; Bacillota; Bacilli; Lactobacillales; Streptococcaceae
Description: bacterial SSU rRNA
Rfam family: Bacterial small subunit ribosomal RNA
Source: RNAcentral
CGUUAAAAGGUAAGUUCGGACGGGGGCCCGCAACAAGCGGUGGAGCAUGUUGGUUUAAUUCGAAGCAACGCGAAGUAACCUUACCAGGUCUUGACAUCCCGAUGCUUAUUUCUAGAGAUAGAAAGUUACUUCGGUACAUCGGUGACAGGUGGUGCAUGGUUGUCGUCAGCUCGUGUCGUGAGAUGUUGGGUUAAGUCCCGCAACGAGCGCAACCCCUAUUGUUAGUUGCCAUCAUUCAGUUGGGCACUCUAGCGAGACUGCCGGUAAUAAACCGGAGGAAGUGGGGAUGACGUCAAAUCAUCAUGCCCCUUAUGACCUGGGCUACACACGUGCUACAAUGGUUGGUACAACGAGUUGCGAGUCGGUGACGGCGAGCUAAUCUCUUAAAGCCAAUCUCAGUUCGGAUUGUAGGCUGCAACUCGCCUACAUGAAGUCGGAAUCGCUAGUAAUCGCGGAUCAGCACGCCGCGGUGAAUACGUUCCCGGGCCUU